RNAcentral lists this ribosomal RNA (253 nucleotides) under uncultured bacterium. Its description in RNAcentral is "partial 16S ribosomal RNA". It matches the Rfam family "Bacterial small subunit ribosomal RNA", at positions 524 to 776 of the family's 1533-position model. The record is from RNAcentral.
UACAGAGGGUGCGAGCGUUGUUCGGAAUUAUUGGGCGUAAAGGGUGCGUAGGCGGCGCGGUAAGUCGGGUGUGAAAUCUCGGGGCUUAACUCCGAAACUGCAUUCGAUACUGCCGUGCUUGAGGACUGGAGAGGAGACUGGAAUUUACGGUGUAGCGGUGAAAUGCGUAGAUAUCGUAAGGAAGACCAGUGGCGAAGGCGGGUCUCUGGACAGUUCCUGACGCUGAGGCACGAAGGUCAGGGGAGCAAACGGG